This 253-nucleotide ribosomal RNA is filed under the name uncultured bacterium. RNAcentral's name for it is "partial 16S ribosomal RNA". It matches the Rfam family "Bacterial small subunit ribosomal RNA", at positions 524 to 776 of the family's 1533-position model. The record is from RNAcentral.
CACGUAGGGCGCAAGCGUUGUCCGGAAUUAUUGGGCGUAAAGAGCUCGUAGGCGGUCUGUUGCGUCCGCUGUGAAAACUCGGGGCUUAACCCCGAGCCUGCAGUGGAUACGGUCAGACUAGAGGUAGGUAGGGGAGAAUGGAAUUCCCGGUGUAGCGGUGAAAUGCGCAGAUAUCGGGAGGAACACCGGUGGCGAAGGCGGUUCUCUGGGCCUUACCUGACGCUGAGGAGCGAAAGCGUGGGGAGCGAACAGG